AACACGUGAGAAACCUGCCUCGGAUUUUGGGAUAACAAAUGGAAACGUUUGCUAAUACCAAAUAACGUCGGAGAGUCACAUGACUUUCUGACGAAAGGAAUUCCGAUUCGAGAGGGUCUCGCGGCCUAUCAGCUUGUUGGCGGGGUAAUGGCCCACCAAGGCAACGACGGGUAGCUGGUCUGAGAGGAUGGUCAGCCACACUGGGACUGAGACACGGCCCAGACUCCUACGGGAGGCAGCAGUGGGGAAUCUUGCGCAAUGGGCGAAAGCCUGACGCAGCAACGCCGCGUGCGGGAAGAAGGCUUUCGGGCUGUAAACCGCUUUCAGCAGGAACGAAAAUGACGGUACCUGCAGAAGAAGGAGCGGCCAACUAUGUGCCAGCAGCCGCGGUGAUACAUAGGCUUCAAGCGUUGUCCGGAUUUAUUGGGCGUAAAGAGUUCGUAGGCGGUCGAGUAAGUCGGGUGUGAAAAUUCUGGGCUCAACCCAGAGACGCCACCCGAUACUGCUUAACUUGAGUUCGAUAGGGGAGUGGGGAAUUCCUAGUGUAGCGGUGAAAUGCGCAGACAUUAGGAGG
This 574-nucleotide ribosomal RNA is filed under the name uncultured bacterium. RNAcentral describes it as "bacterial SSU rRNA". It matches the Rfam family "Bacterial small subunit ribosomal RNA", at positions 112 to 704 of the family's 1533-position model. The record is from RNAcentral.